Long non-coding RNA from Dendrobium catenatum, 477 nucleotides. RefSeq lists it as uncharacterized. NCBI's taxonomy places the organism in Eukaryota, Viridiplantae, Streptophyta, Magnoliopsida, Asparagales, Orchidaceae. The record is from RefSeq and is a predicted model, not a curated record. The transcript has 2 exons.
AAACAUAAGGAAAAAAAAAAAAACACAUAAAGAUGGGCGCUGGCGGGUGCGGAGUAGAGAGGAGAGAGAGAGAGAGAGGCCUUUCGGCUUGAGUUCCUGAGCAAUGAGACGCUAUACGCCGGGGAGUCUCCGCAAGGAAGAAGUGGCCGUCAGUGUGCAGAUCGCCACGAUUGGGCUGCUUAGUCUUUCCUCUCCUAGGUAUCUUUUUGCCCUUUUGAUUGCGGUGGUUUGAUGCUUGGACCGUACUUAAGAUGAGAGAGGGUUUGGAGAUUGGUCUCUUGGUUUUCUUCUAGCUUGGAGAGCUGAUCUGAGAAAGGGAAGAAGAUUUUAGAUUAGAAGUUUAGGAUCAGAUAUGAGUUUAUAGGACAGUCAUGGCUAGCUAGUUUACUAUUCAAUCUUGUUCUGUAGCUUUUGUGUGUAGCUAUAUAAUAUAAUGUAGAUACAUUUUGAUGAAAUAAAAGAAAUCUUGUUGAUAAA